AUGGUGGCCAUAAAGAGGAUGGAGAAAGUUGCUAGACUGAAUCAACUGUAGACUCCAGCUCCUUAUGAAAAGUGGAAAGUACAUGCUGGGUUACAAGCUGACCCUGAAGAUGAUCAGACAAGGCAAAACGAAAUUGAUCAUCCUCGCUAACAACUACCCAGCUUUGAGGAAAUCCAAAAUAGAGUACUAGGCCCUAUUGGCCAAAACUGGUGUCCGAUAUUAUUGCCACUACAAUGGCAAGAAUAUUGAAUUAGGCACAGCAUGCAGAAAAUACUAGAGUCUGUACAUUGUCUAUCAUUGAUCUCGGUGAUUCUGAGUUCAUUAGAAGCAUGGCAGAGAAGACUGGUGAAAAG
This 353-nucleotide long non-coding RNA is filed under the name Homo sapiens (human). RNAcentral's name for it is "non-protein coding lnc-RIC8B-1:1". Lineage: Eukaryota; Metazoa; Chordata; Mammalia; Primates; Hominidae. The record is from RNAcentral.